This 48-nucleotide non-coding RNA is filed under the name Schistosoma mansoni. Lineage: Eukaryota; Metazoa; Platyhelminthes; Trematoda; Strigeidida; Schistosomatidae. The record is from RNAcentral.
AUCCAACUGACGAAUCCCAGAUAGGACGAAGCGGCGCACGUCCUGGAU